ACUCCUACGGGAGGCAGCAGUGGGAAUAUUGCACAAUGGGAAGCCAUCGAUGCAGCAACGACCGCGUGGGAGGAUGACACAUUUCGGUGCGUAAACUCCUUUUAUAUAGGAAGAUAAUGACGGUACUAUAUGAAUAAGCGCCGGCUAAACUCCGUGCCAGCAGCCGCGGUAAUACGGAGGGCGCAAGCGUUACUCGGAAUCACUGGGCGUAAAGAGCGUGUAGGCGGAUCGAUAAGUCAGGAGUGAAAUCCUAUGGCUCAACCAUAGAACUGCUCUUGAAACUGUCAAUCUAGAGUAU
Molecule: ribosomal RNA, 298 nt
Filed under: uncultured bacterium
Lineage: Bacteria
Description: partial 16S ribosomal RNA
Rfam family: Bacterial small subunit ribosomal RNA
Source: RNAcentral